This 497-nucleotide ribosomal RNA is filed under the name uncultured bacterium. RNAcentral's name for it is "partial 16S ribosomal RNA". It matches the Rfam family "Bacterial small subunit ribosomal RNA", at positions 28 to 507 of the family's 1533-position model. The record is from RNAcentral.
GAUGAACGCUGGCGGCGUGCCUAAUACAUGCAAGUCGAGCGAACAGAUGAGGAGCUUGCUCCUCUGACGUUAGCGGCGGACGGGUGAGUAACACGUGGAUAACCUACCUAUAAUACUGGGAUAACUUCGUGAAACCGGAGACAAUACCGGAUAAUAUAUUGAACCGCAUGGUUCAAUAGUGAAAGACGGUUUUGCUGUCACUUAUAGAUGGAUCCGCGCCGCAUUAGCUAGUUGGUAAGGUAACGGCUUACCAAGGCAACGAUGCGUAGCCGACCUGAGAGGGUGAUCGGCCACACUGGAACUGAGACACGGUCCAGACUCCUACGGGAGGCAGCAGUAGGGAAUCUUGCGCAAUGGGCGAAAGCCUGACGCAGCAACGCCGCGUGAGUGAUGAAGGUCUUCGGAUCGUAAAACUCUGUUAUUAGGGAAGAAAAAAUGUGUAAGUAACUAUGCACGUCUUGACGGUACCUAAUCAGAAAGCCACGGCUAACUACGUG